RNAcentral lists this ribosomal RNA (237 nucleotides) under uncultured bacterium. Its description in RNAcentral is "partial 16S ribosomal RNA". It matches the Rfam family "Bacterial small subunit ribosomal RNA", at positions 118 to 352 of the family's 1533-position model. The record is from RNAcentral.
UGGGGAACAUGACCUUCGGCGGGGGAUAGCCGGCCCAACGGCUGGGUAAUACCGCGUACGACCUUUCGGGGACAUCCCCGGAUGGUGAAAGCAGCAAUGCGCCGAUGGAGUGCCUCGCGGCCUAUCAGCUAGUUGGUGAGGUAACGGCUCACCAAGGCAACGACGGGUGGCUGGUCUGAGAGGAUGGCCAGCCGCAUUGGGACUGAGACACGGCCCAGACUCCUACGGGAGGNAGCG